CAACCCUCAGGCCCUGCCUGGCGUUGGAGGACUGCACUGCAGCCUCCCAAAGCGAGCGGCGGCGGCGCCCCACAACCGAACGUAGUAGUUAUAUUUCGUUUUGGACGUGGGACGUUGUCCAGCCGGAAAACACCCCCUUUUUAAU
RNAcentral lists this unclassified non-coding RNA (145 nucleotides) under uncultured Chloridium. Its description in RNAcentral is "sequence contains ITS2". The record is from RNAcentral. Lineage: Eukaryota; Fungi; Ascomycota; Sordariomycetes; Chaetosphaeriales; Chaetosphaeriaceae.